AGUGAACGCUGGCGGUAGGCCUAACACAUGCAAGUCGAACGGCAGCACAGUAAGAGCUUGCUCUUACGGGUGGCGAGUGGCGGACGGGUGAGGAAUACAUCGGAAUCUACUUUUUCGUGGGGGAUAACGUAGGGAAACUUACGCUAAUACCGCAUACGACCUACGGGUGAAAGCAGGGGAUCUUCGGACCUUGCGCGAUUGAAUGAGCCGAUGUCGGAUUAGCUAGUUGGCGGGGUAAAGGCCCACCAAGGCGACGAUCCGUAGCUGGUCUGAGAGGAUGAGCAGCCACACUGGAACUGAGACACGUUCCAGACUCCUACGGGAGGCAGCAGUGGGGAAUAUUGGACAAUGGGCGCAAGCCUGAUCCAGCCAUACCGCGUGGGUGAAGAAGGCCUUCGGGUUGUAAAGCCCUUUUGUUGGGAAAGAAAAGCAGCAGGUUAAUACCCCGCUGUUCUGACGGUACCCAAAGAAUAAGCACCGGCUAACUUCGUG
Molecule: ribosomal RNA, 492 nt
Filed under: uncultured bacterium
Lineage: Bacteria
Description: partial 16S ribosomal RNA
Rfam family: Bacterial small subunit ribosomal RNA
Source: RNAcentral